GCUUGGGUAGCUCAGUUAGUUAGAGCGUCCCGCUGAAGACGGGAAGGUCCCCGGCGCAAUUCCGGGCCCAAGCA
RNAcentral lists this transfer RNA (74 nucleotides) under bacterium. RNAcentral describes it as "tRNA-Phe". It matches the Rfam family "tRNA". From Rfam's summary of the family: Transfer RNA (tRNA) molecules are approximately 80 nucleotides in length. Their secondary structure includes four short double-helical elements and three loops (D, anti-codon, and T loops). Further hydrogen bonds mediate the characteristic L-shaped molecular structure. tRNAs have two regions of fundamental functional importance: the anti-codon, which is responsible for specific mRNA codon recognition, and the 3' end, to which the tRNAs corresponding amino acid is attached (by aminoacyl-tRNA synthetases). tRNAs cope with the degeneracy of the genetic code in two manners: having more than one tRNA (with a specific anti-codon) for a particular amino acid; and 'wobble' base-pairing, i.e. permitting non-standard base-pairing at the 3rd anti-codon position. RNAcentral also lists the same sequence under 1 other name. The record is from RNAcentral.